AUGAAUUCAAGUGGACCUAGCACCGUGCAAACGGAUGGCCGCUUAAUCUCAUUCUCACACACUGUGCUCAUUGAAGAAUUUAAAAGCAUUCACAUGUUUUUAAACCUUUAAAACACUUGAACGUCGAACAGUCUCGUGAUGUUGUCAAACAUUUAAUUGUAAAUGAAAGAA
This 171-nucleotide unclassified non-coding RNA is filed under the name uncultured fungus. Its description in RNAcentral is "sequence contains ITS1, 5.8S rRNA gene". The record is from RNAcentral. Lineage: Eukaryota; Fungi.